Molecule: ribosomal RNA, 497 nt
Filed under: uncultured bacterium
Lineage: Bacteria
Description: partial 16S ribosomal RNA
Rfam family: Bacterial small subunit ribosomal RNA
Source: RNAcentral
GAUGAACGCUGGCGGCGUGCCUAAUACAUGCAAGUCGAGCGAACGGACGAGAAGCUUGCUUCUCUGAUGUUAGCGGCGGACGGGUGAGUAACACGUGGAUAACCUACCUAUAAGACUGGGAUAACUUCGGGAAACCGGAGCUAAUACCGGAUGAUAUUUUGAACCGCAUGGUUCAAAAGUGAAAGACGGUCUUGCGGUCACUUAUAGAUGGAUCCGCGCUGCAUUAGCUAGUUGGUAAGGUAACGGCUUACCAAGGCAACGAUGCAUAGCCGACCUGAGAGAGUGGUCGGCGACACUAGAACUGAGACACGGUCCAGGCGCCUGCGGGAGGGAGCAGUAGGGAAUCUUCCGCAAUAGGCGAAAGCCUGACGGAGCAACGCCGCGUGAGUGAUGAAGGUCUUCGGAUCGUAAAACUCUGUUAUUAGGGAAGAACAUAUGUGUAAGUAACUGUGCACAUCUUGACGGUACCUAAUCAGAAAGCCACGGCUAACUACGUG